GACGAACGCUGGCGGCGUGCCUAAUACAUGCAAGUAGAACGCUGAAGGAGGAGCUUGCUUCUCUGGAUGAGUUGCGAACGGGUGAGUAACGCGUAGGUAACCUGCCUGGUAGCGGGGGAUAACUAUUGGAAACGAUAGCUAAUACCGCAUAAUAGCAGUUAUUGCAUGAUAACUGUUUGAAAGGUGCAAUUGCAUCACUACCAGAUGGACCUGCGUUGUAUUAGCUAGUUGGUGGGGUAACGGCUCACCAAGGCGACGAUACAUAGCCGACCUGAGAGGGUGAUCGGCCACACUGGGACUGAGACACGGCCCAGACUCCUACGGGAGGCAGCAGUAGGGAAUCUUCGGCAAUGGACGGAAGUCUGACCGAGCAACGCCGCGUGAGUGAAGAAGGUUUUCGGAUCGUAAAGCUCUGAUGUAAGAGAAGAACGAGUGUGAGAGUGGAAAGUUCACACUG
RNAcentral lists this ribosomal RNA (457 nucleotides) under Streptococcus mitis. Its description in RNAcentral is "bacterial SSU rRNA". It matches the Rfam family "Bacterial small subunit ribosomal RNA", at positions 28 to 471 of the family's 1533-position model. The record is from RNAcentral. Lineage: Bacteria; Bacillati; Bacillota; Bacilli; Lactobacillales; Streptococcaceae.